This is a long non-coding RNA of Strigops habroptila (Kakapo), 1211 nucleotides long. RefSeq lists it as uncharacterized. The transcript has 2 exons. The record is from RefSeq and is a predicted model, not a curated record. NCBI's taxonomy places the organism in Eukaryota, Metazoa, Chordata, Aves, Psittaciformes, Psittacidae.
UGCCUCCGGUGCGCUGUUCCCGACUUUGGGGUGUCAGUGACUACACUGAUGGAAAAAUAAGCCUUAAUGUUGCCUACAGCAAGAUGCAGAUGCAGCAAACUGAUAGUAAAUGAGUGACUACGGAUAAUGAGUUUCUGCUUAGAAACGGAACUGAGAAGGAGUUAGUGCCAUACCAGGAACACCGGUAGUGAGGGUGUAUCACACUUGUAGCUGCAUCUCUGCCAAACAGCCUUAAACAAGCUAUUGAGCUGCAUCAGACUGGCUGUAUGCUGCCUGGCCGCAGGGCUGGGUUACUCUGGUGCAAAGCUGUCACUGGGGUGGCUGUCACUGCACCGAGCUCUGAAGUGCUGGCUCAAAACACCCCAGCAGCCUGCACAGCUGCCCUCCAAGGGAAUGGUGGUUAUUGGAGGUGCUACAGAACUGCUCAGGACUUUAAUUCUCUUCUCAGCUCCCACUGUUCUCAUGGAAAUAAGCAUCAUCCUGUCUGCUCGGCUGCAAGAGCUACCGAGGAAAGGGGCUUUGUUAGCAUAGGGAAGUUCUUGGUCGCAAUUUGCAUCAGGCUUGCGCAUAAUCACAAGCAUUCCUGUUAAUGCUAGUUGAGAAAUGAAUGCUGUUUUAUUCACCUGCGCAAUAAAUGGAUGCCCCGGACAAAUGAGCAAUCGUCUCUGGAAAUCUGCUGCAAUAUCAACUGUCUUUCUGCCAGCACAAAGGGAGCUGGGCAUUUUUCAGCUGAAGAAGAUCCUACAUUAUUAAAGAUAAGCAUUUAUGACAACGUAGCAUAGCCAGUAAGGGUGUUUUUGUCCUCUUCUUGGAGGCUUAAUAAUAACAGCGUGCACUGCUGUGAGCCAAACAUGCACAUGCUUAAAGUGAUUGUGUUAUCUUUGAUGUACUUAAAAGGGCACUGACAAAUUGAAACUGGUUUCUCGGCUUCUAUUAAUAACUCAUAAGUUAAUUUGGCCUUGUUUAUUUUUGUUCAUAAGAAAAAGUUGGGAUUGCCAUGUAAUAGUGUAUAACUGAAAGUCAUUAUUUCCUGACGUGUGAUUCAGCUUCCUGUUACCGUUUCAUUCACAGCAGUUCUGUUUUAUCUGCCUUUAAAGGCUUGAUGUAGGAGGACUGCUGUUGAGUCUGUCCUCAGUUAAGAAGGCUAAUAAAUAUUAUGUCAUUUCGUUAACUGCAUUAUGCCACUGUCAAUAAAAUUCAUAGUCAAGGUC